This 568-nucleotide long non-coding RNA is filed under the name Anas platyrhynchos (mallard). Its description in RNAcentral is "lncRNA (ENSAPLG00020008189.1)". The record is from RNAcentral. Lineage: Eukaryota; Metazoa; Chordata; Aves; Anseriformes; Anatidae.
GCUCAGGCCCGUUAAAGCCCCCCGGGCAGACGUUUCUGUUUAACCCCACGUAACGGCAACGUGAUCGGGGGGGGCUCCGCUUCUCCCAGCCCCGCUCCUGGCACUCCUCGCCGGGAGCCGCAGCCCGGCUCAGCCGCUCCUCAUCGGCUCCAGCCUCUGGGGGGGGCGGGGGGGGGGGGGCCUCAGCAUCCUGCCCCCCCCCCUCCCGGAUGCUGCCGCUGUCCCGGCGGCUCUCGGCUCCCGCUGCCGCUUAAGUCCUAAAGGAUGCAGAGGUGCGGAGGGAGGUGAGCUCGGCCCAGAGGCUGCGCCGGGGGACUCUGCCUGCCCGCCGAGGAGAGGAAAAAUCCCGGCAUCGCCUCGAUCAGCGUGGUUUUGGCAGCACCCACCAAAGGGGACGGGGACAGGGACAAGGAGAAGCCGUGCCAGCGCAGGGCAGUGGGGAGACGACCACCUCGCAGCACCCUCACCCUGGAAAUCGAAGGGAAGAGGAGCUCCACCAGGACCUGGGGUUAGGACUGAGCUUUCCAGCCCGGAGGAGGCUGCUCCUGCUGUGGGUUUGCAGCGGUAA